This 1234-nucleotide long non-coding RNA is filed under the name Gossypium raimondii (Peruvian cotton). RNAcentral's name for it is "long non-coding RNA (GRAI_LNC009169)". The record is from RNAcentral. Lineage: Eukaryota; Viridiplantae; Streptophyta; Magnoliopsida; Malvales; Malvaceae.
ACGAGCAUUAAAUUAAAAGAGAAAUAAACGAAAUUACCGAAAAGAUCUCAAAACACGAGCUUCGUCGAACGGGUUACACAAAUUAAACCUUUUUUUUCUUUUUUCCUUUUUUAUUUCUUCUUUUUCUUUUCUUUUUUUCUCUCUGCUGGGCCGGCCAGUUGGGCCUGCUUCUGCUGGGCUGGUGCGUGUGGGCCUAGCCUGCUGGUGCUGGCCUGCUGGGCUACACUGGGCCUGGGCUGGUGCGCAAAUGGGCCGGCUGUUGGCCUGCUACCUUUUUUUUUGCUUUCUUCUUCUUCUUUUUUCCUUUUGGGCUGCUCUUCGGGCCUGUUGAGCUGGGCUGCUGCUGGGUCGGGUUGGGUCACCUGAUCGGGUCGGGUUGGACCUGGAUCGGGUCGGGUCGGCCUGAUUUUUUUAAAAAAAAUUCUUUUUCUUUUUCUUUUUCUUUUUCUUUUUCUUUUUCUUUUUUCUUCUUUUUUCUUUCCCUAUUUUUUUUCUUGUUCCUUCUUCCUUCUUCUUCUUUUUUCUUCUCCUUCGACAGUAGCCCCUUGUGUUGCCGAUGCCGCCUUGCUGCCCGGCGGUGUAAGGCAACGGUGGUGCUCCUCCUUCUCCCCUUUCUUCUCUUUUUUCCUCAGUUUUUUUUCUCUUGCUGUUUUUUAUUCUUUUCUUUGUUGCUUGGCUUGUUUGGGUUGUAGGUAAUGGUGGUAGAGGUGUCACGGUGGCAGUGCGGCGGCGAUGGUUGCGGGAGGAGGUUUUGGGUUGCUAUUUUUUGAAUAUUUUACUGCUAUUUUUUUUUGCUGCCAAAACUGAACCCCCCUCUCUUCCUCUCAUCUUCUUCUUUUAAAUCCUUCAAUUUUGUCUUCUUUCCUUUGUUUUCAGGCGGUAGGGGAGCAUCAUUGGCCUAGGGAGGCUGCUGGAGUAGCUAGAGGUGGGUGGAGCACGCUUGGCUGCCGACUGGCAGAUUUGACAUGUCCAGGAGGACCAAAUUGUAAAGGUGUAAAGUUUUCGGGGUAAAAAUGUAAUUUUAGAAAAAUAUGGGGCUAAAAUGUAAUUUUUAGAAAUUUUAGGGGUCUGAAUGUAAUUUAUAUUUUUUGUAUUUUUUUCUGAUUUAUUAUUUUUUUAUUAAUAUUUUUAAAACAUAAAAAACAAAAUAAAACAAUGGGCCAAAGCCCAAACAAGUCCAAAAUUAAAUUAUUUAAAACCCAAUUAUCCAACCCUACCUGCCCACCCAUUGGGC